UUGGAGGGCAAGUCUGGUGCCAGCAGCCGCGGUAAUUCCAGCUCCAAUAGCGUAUAUUAAAGUUGUUGCAGUUAAAAAGCUCGUAGUUGAAUUUCGGAGUUUGUCGGUCGGUCGGGCUUCACUGUCCGCACUGGCCUGAUGGAUUCCUACCUUCUGAAUAACUAGCAUGCUAUUAAGUUAGUGCGUUGGGGAAGCAGAGCUAUUACCUUGAAAAAAUUAGAGUGCUUAAAGCAGGCUUAUGCUUGAAUAGAUUAGCAUGGAAUAAUAAAAUAGGACGGCAUGGUUCUAUUUUGUUGGUUUCUAGGAUCACCGUAAUGAUUAAUAGGGAUAGUUGGGGGCAUUAGUAUUCAAUUGUCAGAGGUGAAAUUCUUGGAUUUAUUGAAGACUAACUUCUGCGAAAGCAUUUGCCAAGGGUGUUUUCAUUAAUCAAGAACGAAAGUUAGGGGAUCGAAGACGAUCAGAUACCGUCGUAGUCUUAACCAUAAACUAUGCCGACUAGGGAUCGGAUGAUGUUAAUUUUUUAAUGACUCAUUCGGCGCCUUACGGGAAAC
Molecule: ribosomal RNA, 551 nt
Filed under: uncultured Acaulospora
Lineage: Eukaryota; Fungi; Glomeromycota; Glomeromycetes; Diversisporales; Acaulosporaceae
Description: SSU rRNA
Rfam family: Eukaryotic small subunit ribosomal RNA
Source: RNAcentral